Molecule: ribosomal RNA, 501 nt
Filed under: uncultured bacterium
Lineage: Bacteria
Description: partial 16S ribosomal RNA
Rfam family: Bacterial small subunit ribosomal RNA
Source: RNAcentral
AUUGAACGCUGGCGGCAGGCUUAACACAUGCAAGUCGAGCGGGGAAGAGUAGCUUGCUACUUUACCUAGCGGCGGACGGGUGAGUAAUGCUUAGGAAUCUGCCUAUUAGUGGGGGACAACAUCUCGAAAGGGAUGCUAAUACCGCAUACGUCCUACGGGAGAAAGCAGGGGACCUUCGGGCCUUGCGCUAAUAGAUGAGCCUAAGUCGGAUUAGCUAGUUGGUGGGGUAAAGGCCUACCAAGGCGACGAUCUGUAGCGGGUCUGAGAGGAUGAUCCGCCACACUGGGACUGAGGCACGGCCCAGACUCCUACGGGAGGCAGCAGUGGGGAAUAUUGGACAAUGGGGGGAACCCUGAUCCAGCCAUGCCGCGUGUGUGAAGAAGGCCUUUUGGUUGUAAAGCACUUUAAGCGAGGAGGAGGCUACCGAGAUUAAUACUCUUGGAUAGUGGACGUUACUCGCAGAAUAAGCACCGGCUAACUCUGUGCCAGCCGCCGCAGUAA